GAUCAUCUUGUUCUAUACCCCACUAUUUUUGCUAGUUUGACAUAUGUUAGCUCUGUGAAUCUCUGAAAACAUAGAAGUCCAAUUUGUUUUUAUACAUACAGAGUCUCUUUGUGCUAGUUUGGCAUUGCCGUGCACCAGCCUUGCUCAAAAUACAACCUGGAGAAACUAGCUUCUUGUUGAAGCUGCAAGUUAAUGCCCUUGAGUUUGUCCACCUCAAAGCCAAACUGGGCCAAGUAGCUGGUUUUGAUGCGAUUUGUCUACAUUCAAUACUAUCUUGAUGUGUUCUGCUUUUAACUCUCCUAUUAAUUAUUGAGAAUAUUUUUCCCUGGCAAUCUGUGAAGAUAUAAAUUAGUAACUUAUGGUUCUCAAACAUGCAUUCUAUCUUCUUCCUAGCAAUAACAGAAACUAUACAUGCAAAUUGGAAUUCACUUAUUAUUCUCUGCUUGAGUCGGCGAUGGUUGGUGCAGUGAUUUGUUUCCCAUUCGUGUGCUCCUUUUAAAAUUUAACCUGCCGUGCCUCAAUGGUAACUUUUCAAGUUAGUCUGAAAUGUGGAUUGUUAGUCAGAUUAGAAUAUGGCAUGUCAUAACAGAAUUUGAUUUCUUAUGACUGAAUCUCUAUCAGGCAUUUGUAUAUUAUUAAGUGUGACUAUCAUGUCUUGAUGUGUGGGCGGGUAUUUUGCAGUUUAGGCAAGCCAAGGCAGAGAUCGUAUCAGCUAGCAAAGUGGCAUAUCGUUUCCUUGUAGGUGUUGCUUCUAGUAAUGGGCCUGCACAUGAUUCACCUGGCAAUUCAAACAGAGGAAGCCCUAGAAUUCAAGCAACUUGGUUUAAAAACCUAAUUACUUCGGGUGCCAAACCAUCUAGUAGCACAGAAGUAGACAAUCAGGAAGAAGUGCAUCUUCGGCAGCAACAUGAGCAAGUGUCAGAUUUACCACCGCGGCAGAAUUCACAACAAUUGUCAGAUUUACCAC
This 967-nucleotide long non-coding RNA is filed under the name Manihot esculenta (cassava). RNAcentral describes it as "long non-coding RNA (MESC_LNC003688)". The record is from RNAcentral. Lineage: Eukaryota; Viridiplantae; Streptophyta; Magnoliopsida; Malpighiales; Euphorbiaceae.